GAUGGACGCUGGCGGCGUGCUUAACACAUGCAAGUCGAACGAAGCACUUUAUUCGAUUUUCUUCGGAGAUGAAGAUUUAGUGACUGAGUGGCGGACGGGUGAGUAACGCGUGGAUAACCUGCCUCACACUGGGGGAUAACAGUUAGAAAUGACUGCUAAUACCGCAUAAGCGCACAGUACCGCAUGGUAUGGUGUGAAAAACUCCGGUGGUGUGAGAUGGAUCCGCGUUUGAUUAGCCAGUUGGCGGGGUAACGGCCCACAAAAGCGACGAUCAAGGACGGGCCUGAGAGGGUGACCGGCCACAUUGGGACUGAGACACGGCCCAAACUCCUACGGGAGGCAGCAGUGGGGAAUAUUGCGCAAUGGGGGAAACCCUGACGCAGCGACGCCGCGGGAGCGAUGAAGUAUUUCGGUAUGUAAAGCGCUAUCAGCAGGGAAGAAUAAAUGACGGUACCUGACUAAGAAGCCCCGGCUAACUACGUGCCAGCCGCCGCCGUAA
Molecule: ribosomal RNA, 499 nt
Filed under: uncultured bacterium
Lineage: Bacteria
Description: partial 16S ribosomal RNA
Rfam family: Bacterial small subunit ribosomal RNA
Source: RNAcentral